AACGAACGCUGGCGGCAUGCCUAACACAUGCAAGUCGAACGAGACCUUCGGGUCUAGUGGCGCACGGGUGCGUAACACGUGGGAAUUUGCCUCGGGGUAUGGAAUAACUCAGGGAAACUUGAGCUAAUACCAUAUAAUGUCUUCGGACCAAAGAUUUAUCGCCCUGAGAUAAGCCCGCGUAGGAUUAGCUAGUUGGUGGGGUAAAGGCUCACCAAGGCGACGAUCCUUAGCUGGUCUGAGAGGAUGAUCAGCCACACUGGGACUGAGACACGGCCCAGACUCCUACGGGAGGCAGCAGUGGGGAAUAUUGGACAAUGGGCGAAAGCCUGAUCCAGCAAUGCCGCGUGAGUGAUGAAGGCCUUCGGGUUGUAAAGGUCUCUUUUACUUCGGGACGAGUAAUGACGGUACCGAGAGAAUAAGCCCGGCCGUAACUCCGUGCCAGCAGCCGCGGUAA
Molecule: ribosomal RNA, 454 nt
Filed under: uncultured bacterium
Lineage: Bacteria
Description: bacterial SSU rRNA
Rfam family: Bacterial small subunit ribosomal RNA
Source: RNAcentral